RNAcentral lists this ribosomal RNA (744 nucleotides) under uncultured bacterium. Its description in RNAcentral is "bacterial SSU rRNA". It matches the Rfam family "Bacterial small subunit ribosomal RNA", at positions 8 to 796 of the family's 1533-position model. The record is from RNAcentral.
AGAGUUUGAUCAUGGCUCAGAACGAACGCUGGCGCAGGCCUAACACAUGCAAGUCGAACGCGCCCUUCGGGGCGAGUGGCGGACGGGUGAGUAACGCGUGGCACCUGCCCUAGGGUACGGAAUAAUUCAGGGAAACCUGGACUAAUACCGUAUACGCCUCUUUCGGGAGGGAAAGAUUUAUCGCCCUGGGAUGGGCCCGCGUCGGAUUAGCUAGUUGGUGGGGUAAUGGCCUACCAAGGCGACGAUCCGUAGCUGGUUUGAGAGGACGAUCAGCCACACUGGGACUGAGACACGGCCCAGACUCCUACGGGAGGCAGCAGUGGGGAAUAUUGGACAAUGGGGGCAACCCUGAUCCAGCCAUGCCGCGUGAGUGAUGAAGGCCUUCGGGUUGUAAAGCUCUUUCACCCGUGACGAUGAUGACGGUAGCGGGAGAAGAAGCCCCGGCUAACUCCGUGCCAGCAGCCGCGGUAAUACGGAGGGGGCUAGCGUUGUUCGGAAUUACUGGGCGUAAAGCGCGCGUAGGCGGCGGAUCGCGUCAGAUGUGAAAGCCCCGGGCUCAACCUGGGAUGUGCAUUUGAUACGGGUCUGCUUGAAUUCGGGAGAGGGUAGUGGAAUUCCCAGUGUAGAGGUGAAAUUCGUAGAUAUUGGGAAGAACACCAGUGGCGAAGGCGGCUACCUGGCCCGAGAUUGACGCUGAGGCGCGAAAGCGUGGGGAGCAAACAGGAUUAGAUACCCUAGUAGUCC